This is a non-coding RNA of Misgurnus anguillicaudatus (oriental weatherfish), 1218 nucleotides long. The record is from RefSeq and is a predicted model, not a curated record. Lineage: Eukaryota; Metazoa; Chordata; Actinopteri; Cypriniformes; Cobitidae.
GCCUGUUUUAGGCCACAAGGCCUGUGAAUCACAAUGGUAAAGUUGCAUGUACAAAUUUCUUAAUUUUUAAUCAAAACAAAGUCCAAUCAGACUGUGUGAUACAUCAUUGUAAAGCUUGUGUUUUGCAGUUUCACAUGAACAAUUCAAUUUUAUUUUUUAUUUAUAUAGCGCUUUUCACAAAAGUCAAUUGUUUCAAAGCAGCUUUACAUAAAUAGAAGCAGUGAAAAGCACAGAAAACGACAGAUAGCACAACAAAAUACAUGAAAGCAUGAGCAGUUAAAUUUGCUGCGGCUAUGACUCAAUAAUAUAAUUGCACGUAUUACUAAAGCAACGUAUAGAAGAGGAAGCUAGGUAAAGCCCAAAAAGGCUGCCUCCCCGGGGUGAAAAACCCCCUAGGAGAAAAAAAAACCCGUGCUUUUAUCCGAGGAAAAAUAAGUCCUAGGAGGGAAAAACCCUUGGGAGAACGGAAAUGGAGAUUUAGCGGAGAUUAAGCGGUUCUGCCGGUGAUCGUUGGUCAGGUAUCAGCUGGGCAUAACGUUGAAGGACAGCCAGUAGAUCAGAGGUGUGCCGACUUUCACAUCUACCGGGACUGGGUCUGUUUGUCUCGUCCUCGGGUCGAGGACGAGACAGGGAGAGAAAAACAAAAUCGUAUUAGCGUAGCGGCCGUUCAUAUGUAUUGAAGUGUCACACAGUGAUGUGGUUUAACUCAGCUUAGUUCCAGACAGACUAAAUAUUGCGGCAUAAUUAUGUUAUCCACAGUUGAGGAUUUAGCAAAUUGGGGGCCCAAUGCGAGGGUAUAUAUGGUAAAUAAGGGUCACCUUCCGAUCUUUAAGAGAAAAUGAAACCUGACGACCCGUUUGACUAAGGCCUAAAGCCCCACUGUCGUCGUUAAUACAGGUUCAGUGGCAAACGGGUCUAUAUUGUAUACCAUUUACAGGACCAGGAGAAAACGCCAAAAACAUCGCAACCCGACCAUACGUGUUAACCCGUUUGACUAAGGCCGGAAGCCCCACUGUCGUCGUUAAUGCAUGUUCAGUGGCAAACGGGUCUGUAUGGCAUACUAUUCACAAGACACACGAAAGCGCGAAAAACGCAACCCGACCAUACAUACCAACCCGUUUGACUAAGGCUGGAGGCCCCACUGUCGUCGUUAAUGCAGGUUCAGUGGCAAACGGGUCUGUAUGGCAUACUAUUCAUAAGACUUACGAUAGCGCCAAA